GUCAGAAUGGCCGAAUGGUCGAAGGUGCUAGCCUUAAGACUUAGGGGGGUGGGUUCAAACCCCGCUUUUGACA
Molecule: transfer RNA, 73 nt
Filed under: Glycine max (soybean)
Lineage: Eukaryota; Viridiplantae; Streptophyta; Magnoliopsida; Fabales; Fabaceae
Description: tRNA-Leu
Rfam family: tRNA
About the family: Transfer RNA (tRNA) molecules are approximately 80 nucleotides in length. Their secondary structure includes four short double-helical elements and three loops (D, anti-codon, and T loops).
Source: RNAcentral